CCGGCACGGGUGCGUAACGCGUAUGCAACCUACCAUCAACAGGGGGAUAACACUGAGAAAUUGGUACUAAUACCCCAUAAUAUCUCAUGCGGCAUCGCAUGGGGUUGAAAACUCCGGUGGUUGAUGAUGGGCAUGCGUUGUAUUAGCUGGUUGGUGAGGUAACGGCUCACCAAGGCGACGAUACAGUAGGGGGACUGAGAGGUUAACCCCCCACAUUGGUACUGAGACACGGACCAAACUCCUACGGAAGGCAGCAG
RNAcentral lists this ribosomal RNA (257 nucleotides) under uncultured bacterium. RNAcentral describes it as "partial 16S ribosomal RNA". It matches the Rfam family "Bacterial small subunit ribosomal RNA", at positions 97 to 354 of the family's 1533-position model. The record is from RNAcentral.